This 1393-nucleotide ribosomal RNA is filed under the name uncultured bacterium. RNAcentral describes it as "bacterial SSU rRNA". It matches the Rfam family "Bacterial small subunit ribosomal RNA". The record is from RNAcentral.
AGAGUUUGAUCCUGGCUCAGGAUGAACGCUGGCGGCGUGCUUAACACAUGCAAGUCGAACGAAGCACUUUAUUUGAUUUCCUUCGGGACUGAUUAUUUUGUGACUGAGUGGCGGACGGGUGAGUAACGCGUGGGUAACCUGCCUUGUACAGGGGGAUAACAGUUGGAAACGGCUGCUAAUACCGCAUAAGCGCACAGCAUCGCAUGAUGCAGUGUGAAAAACUCCGGUGGUAUAAGAUGGACCCGCGUUGGAUUAGCUAGUUGGUGAGGUAACGGCCCACCAAGGCGACGAUCCAUAGCCGACCUGAGAGGGUGACCGGCCACAUUGGGACUGAGACACGGCCCAAACUCCUACGGGAGGCAGCAGUGGGGAAUAUUGCACAAUGGGCGAAAGCCUGAUGCAGCGACGCCGCGUGAGCGAAGAAGUAUUUCGGUAUGUAAAGCUCUAUCAGCAGGGAAGAUAAUGACGGUACCUGACUAAGAAGCACCGGCUAAAUACGUGCCAGCAGCCGCGGUAAUACGUAUGGUGCAAGCGUUAUCCGGAUUUACUGGGUGUAAAGGGAGCGCAGGCGGUGCGGCAAGUCUGAUGUGAAAGCCCGGGGCUCAACCCCGGUACUGCAUUGGAAACUGUCGUACUAGAGUGUCGGAGGGGUAAGCGGAAUUCCUAGUGUAGCGGUGAAAUGCGUAGAUAUUAGGAGGAACACCAGUGGCGAAGGCGGCUUACUGGACGACCACUGACGCUGAGGCUCGAAAGCGUGGGGAGCAAACAGUAAGAGAUACCCUGGUAGUCCACGCCGUAAACGAUGACUAUAAGGGGUUGGCAGGUAAGACCUGUCGGUGCCGCAGCUAACGCAAUAAGUAUUCCACCUGGGGAGUGCGUUCGCGAGAAUGAAACUCAAAGGAUAUUGAAGGGGACCCGCACAAGCGGUGGAGCAUGUGGUUUAAUUCGAAGCACCGAGAAGAACCUUACCAAGUCUUGACAUCCCGAUGACAGAGUAUGUAAUGUACUUUCUCUUCGGAGCAUCGGUGACAGGUGGUGCAUGGUUGUCGUCAGCUCGUGUCGUGAGAUGUUGGGUUAAGUCCCGCAACGAGCGCAACCCCUAUCCCCAGUAGCCAGCAUUUCGGAUGGGCACUCUGUGGAGACUGCCAGGGACAACCUGGAGGAAGGUGGGGAUGACGUCAAAUCAUCAUGCCCCUUAUGACUUGGGCUACACACGUGCUACAAUGGCGUAAACAAAGGGAAGCGAGACCGCGAGGUGGAGCAAAUCCCAAAAAUAACGUCCCAGUUCGGAUUGUAGUCUGCAACUCGACUACAUGAAGCUGGAAUCGCUAGUAAUCGCAGAUCAGAAUGCUGCGGUGAAUACGUUCCCGGGUCUUGUACUCACCGCCCGUCA